This 200-nucleotide ribosomal RNA is filed under the name uncultured bacterium. RNAcentral describes it as "partial 16S ribosomal RNA". It matches the Rfam family "Bacterial small subunit ribosomal RNA", at positions 8 to 207 of the family's 1533-position model. The record is from RNAcentral.
AGAGUUUGAUCCUGGCUCAGAUUGAACGCUGGCGGCAUGCCUUACACAUGCAAGUCGAACGGCAGCACGGGAGCAAUCCUGGUGGCGAGUGGCGAACGGGUGAGUAAUACAUCGGAACAUGUCCAGUAGUGGGGGAUAGCCCGGCGAAAGCCGGAUUAAUACCGCAUACGAUCUGUGGAUGAAAGCGGGGGACCGAAAGG